Eurytemora carolleeae is the source of this 1620-nucleotide long non-coding RNA. RefSeq lists it as uncharacterized. The transcript has 7 exons. NCBI's taxonomy places the organism in Eukaryota, Metazoa, Arthropoda, Copepoda, Calanoida, Temoridae. The record is from RefSeq and is a predicted model, not a curated record.
GAUCUAUCUAGUUGGGGAUACACUCAGGGAACUCACUAUACUCCAGGUCAUACCGGAUAUACAGGAUAUACAGCUGGAUAUGACAAUAUCCAAGAAAAUACAGAAUCCUACAAUUAUUCAUAUUUCCAGAAUGAAGGUAGUGAAUGGGAGGAGGGCCCUGCCCCCAGUGCUCCACGCUACGAGGACCUGGUUGGAACACGCCCACCUCUAUACCCAGACAACCCUGGUCCUCCACCCACUGGGCGGGGAUUCAUUCUACGCAGUGAUGAGGGACUAGAUGAGUUGAGGAGGAGAAGAUUAGAGCGGUUCUCCUGACAUGAGGGGAGGAGGUCCAGCACCUCCAGGUCCUCCUCCUAUACCCACUCCACGUCCUCCUCCUUCAUCCACUCAAGGUCCUCCUACUCCUCUAGAUCCUCUAGAAGUUGUUCCAGAGAAAGUUCAGUUUUUUCAAGAUCUGUGACCCCUGAAUCUACCCAUUCCCUUCAACGUGAAAGGUCAAUCAGUACAACUAGCAGCCAGUCAAAGAGUACACAAAGUACAAGAAGUACACCUGCCUUAAGAUCUCAGAGUACAGAGAGUACAGAUUCAGACCAAACUAUUCACAAUCAUUUAUCUCAAAAUAGUUUUCAUAAUUCAGGACAACAUAUUAAACAAGGACAAGACAAUGAUGAGGACAAGAGUCCUAAUAUUAGUCCUGGAGAGAGGACGGUAUUUAAUGAGGACAAGAAUACAGUAUCAGUUUCCCCUGCUAGAUAGUAGAGACCUAGAAUCUGAAUCCAAAGUCUGAUGUGAUUUUAACCUCUAGCAUAAAUCAUAAUUUCCAUUUUCCUUCUACAAACCCUCCUUUGGAGACUUAGAGGAUAGAUUUCAGAGAUUCAAACGAGUAUUCUACCAACUUCAUGAAAAUCACACUUGACUUGUAAAAGUAAUUAUUGUUAAUUAAUUAUUAACGCCUUAACAGCAGUGCUUAAAAUUCGGCUUAGCUAGAGACUGACUGAAUAAAAGACCAAUAUGUUCGGAGUCCAUUUUUUUUGUAAUUUGAAAAUUCUAAUUGUGUUAUCAAUCUAUUUAAUGUACUUGGUAAUUAUUAACCUUUAGUUCAAAACUCAUUUUUAACAUUUAAGGUUCAUAAACUUUAAGGCAAAUUAAAUCCAUAAAAAUCGCACAAUAUGAAGAAGAGCUUUUCUUUUUAUCACGUUUGACAGGCAGGUGGUGGCAUUAAAUUCAGCAUUGGAUUUUUUGUUUCUUCAAAUAUUAAGUAAAACUAGUUUGCCAUCAAUCCGACUUCAAAUUCAUAAAUCCAACUUUUCGGGCCUUUUAUACAGUAAAACCCUAAGGUUUAACUGUAUGUUUAUUUAAUCUUGAUCUAAAUUUUUAAGUGAUAUUUUAUCUGAAUGUACAAAAGUUUUUUUACAGUAUUGAUUUUGCCACAAUAGUUAUUCAUCUUCCCAACCAGUAGUUUUAUUAUUGCUACUUGUUUUGUUUAUAUUAAUUACUAACUUUUCAUAUUAAAACAGGUUGUUAAUGUUGUUGUCAUGUAAUUAAUUAAAACUAUGUUUAACAUGUUUGUAGUUUGUUAUUAUAAACAUAAAAAUUAUUAAAAAUCAUUCCCGUGUAAAA